CAGCCGCCACGGUAACACGUAGGGUGCAAGCGUUAAUCGGAAUUACUGGGCGUAAAGCGUGCGCAGGCGGUUCGCUAAGACAGAUGUGAAAUCCCCGGGCUUAACCUGGGAACUGCAUUUGUGACUGGCGGGCUAGAGUAUGGCAGAGGGGGGUAGAAUUCCACGUGUAGCAGUGAAAUGCGUAGAGAUGUGGAGGAAUACCGAUGGCGAAGGCAGCCCCCUGGGCCAAUACUGACGCUCAUGCACGAAAGCGUGGGGAGCAAACAGGAUUAGAUACCCCUGUAGUCCCUGUCUCUUAUAC
This 301-nucleotide ribosomal RNA is filed under the name uncultured bacterium. RNAcentral describes it as "partial 16S ribosomal RNA". It matches the Rfam family "Bacterial small subunit ribosomal RNA", at positions 509 to 807 of the family's 1533-position model. The record is from RNAcentral.